CAUGAAAGAGGAGAAGCAUUCUUUUCGCCAAUUAUUUAAUAUGUUAAAACUAAUACAAAAAGGAAAUUUUUGUAGAAAAAUUCUCACCAUGCAGAGUAAAAGUCCCGUCCCUCAUUAAAUUCAAAAAUGCACGACUGAGUCAAAAUGGAAACAAAACGUCGCAAGUGGAACCUUACGGUGGAGUCUAGUUUCAUGAAUUCAAGAGACCGCAUUUAUUUUAUUUUGCAUUUAUUCAAUAUUAUUAACCCAGGAAACUAGGUUGCACUUGACAAAUUUUGCAAAUGUAAACAAAUAUCACCUGUUUGAGUUAACUCAAAUUCGGUGGAAAUGUUAGACAUUCAUUUACUUAACAGAAGUCUUUAAUGCAUUUAAGUGCCCAUCUAUAAAUAUGUAGUUUUCUCACUGUAAAAAGAUAUGGUUUAUUUUAUAGCCUUUCCCUUUUCAACUGGUAGCACGAUGUGUGUAACUGUAUAAGUUAUUACAGUAGCAAAAUAUACAAACAACAAUGUCGUGACUUUAGCACAACAACAAUAUUAUCAGAAUAGCCUAGAAACAACAACAAUUUUGUAAAUUCAGCGAACAACACUUCUAAAGUAAUAAACAAUAUCAGCAUUGCCAAAUUGUAUCCAACUAAAGUUAUUUUCGAAGCGUUAAAUUGUCAAUUAUUAUAUUAACAGUUUAAACGCAUUUAAUUUUGAUAAAUAAAAUAUCGCAGCAAUUACAAACUAUUGCGGAUCUCGGAAAUAUGAUACUAUCAAAAACAUUUUGAGUUCUGUAUAUUGUGAAUCCGCAAAAUAUAAUAGUUUUAUUUAAAUAGUUGCAAAAAUAUUGAUUUCAAAGUUGCAGAAGAUAUUCAGUAUGAAACAGAUUCACAGGAAUACGAGGUAAUGGGAACGAAACCACUUUAUAAAGCCAUCUUAAGACAGGCGUGAGCUAAGGACUCUAAAUUACAAACUGGGAUCCUUAUCUCAAAAGCAGCUCUACGCAAGAAUUAAUCACCAGAUACAAGUAAUGUGCUACUUGACACUUAUAGAAGCCGACAUACCGACGUAUUUAUCAGAGGCCUUAUCGGUGAAUUGUUAAUGAUCCAAUGUCCUAGGAACCUACCUGAAGCAUACGCUUCUUGUCUUGAAAUACGCAUACUUAAUCUAAGGAUAAAUUUAAUCUACUCGCGGAAUAAAGGAAGCUCAAAUGGAAUGUAAAACAACAAAAAAAAAACCAAAGCAAAUAUUCGUAGCAAGAAAACUAAUCUCCUUUUGAAAAAAACGUUGAAGCUCAAGCGCCAUCUCCAUCCAGACCAACCCAACCCACCCAUGCGUUCCCGAUGGAGGCGGAUACCUCAAUUUAUUCACGAAAAGUAAAUUGAAAACCAAAUGUUAUUUAAAAACCAAGCAGUGGACCAGGAAUACACCGAAGGUGGAGAGAAAAAAGAGAUAAAUUUUAUGACUGAGACAGAUAUAAGAACAACAAAUGCGGAGCCGAUCUAUACAAAAUCACACCUUCGGGGGAAAGUGGAGCAACAGGUAACACAACUUUUAAACAAUGGUGUAAUAAGGCCUUGAAAAAGCCCGAAAAACUUCCCAUACUGGAUUGCCAAAAAAACCAAGUCCAUCCGGGGAAAAGAAGAAGAGAGUUGUCGUUGACUGCGAUAACCAUGCGUAACUCCUACGCAAAACUUGAUAUAAACAACACUCCAGCUACAAUUGCUUAGGCGAAUGAAUUAUCGUCCCCGAAUACCCACCACGAAUUUACUUUUAAUUAAAAUACGUACCAGCAACCCUACCUUCGUUACCAAUCAAAAAGAAGAAAAGAAUGUAAUAUAAUUGUACGUGUAUAUGUAAUGGUACGCUAAAACUCUAUUCGGCGGUUGUACCCUUAAAAUUGUACUAAAUAAACAUAAA
This is a long non-coding RNA of Ceratitis capitata (Mediterranean fruit fly), 1901 nucleotides long. RefSeq lists it as uncharacterized. NCBI's taxonomy places the organism in Eukaryota, Metazoa, Arthropoda, Insecta, Diptera, Tephritidae. The record is from RefSeq and is a predicted model, not a curated record. The transcript has 3 exons.